UCCCGUGUGGCUCAGUUGGUAGAGCAUGGUGUUUGCAACGCCAGGGUUGCAGGUUUGAUUCCCACGGGGG
RNAcentral lists this transfer RNA (70 nucleotides) under Salmo salar (Atlantic salmon). It matches the Rfam family "tRNA". Rfam says of the family: Transfer RNA (tRNA) molecules are approximately 80 nucleotides in length. Their secondary structure includes four short double-helical elements and three loops (D, anti-codon, and T loops). Further hydrogen bonds mediate the characteristic L-shaped molecular structure. tRNAs have two regions of fundamental functional importance: the anti-codon, which is responsible for specific mRNA codon recognition, and the 3' end, to which the tRNAs corresponding amino acid is attached (by aminoacyl-tRNA synthetases). tRNAs cope with the degeneracy of the genetic code in two manners: having more than one tRNA (with a specific anti-codon) for a particular amino acid; and 'wobble' base-pairing, i.e. permitting non-standard base-pairing at the 3rd anti-codon position. Lineage: Eukaryota; Metazoa; Chordata; Actinopteri; Salmoniformes; Salmonidae. The record is from Rfam by way of RNAcentral.